Molecule: long non-coding RNA, 1265 nt
Filed under: Manacus vitellinus (golden-collared manakin)
Lineage: Eukaryota; Metazoa; Chordata; Aves; Passeriformes; Pipridae
Description: lncRNA (ENSMVIG00005003909.1)
Source: RNAcentral
GAUUUCAGCCUCAAUUUUAUUGGCGUUAUUCCCGAAGAUUCCGGCCCGGAAUUCCCGCUUUUCCCUCAGCAUUCCCGCUUUUUCCACCGGCACAGCAGCAAAUAAGGAGAAUUCCCGGGAAUUCCCAACUCUGGGACGACUCUGGAAGGAAGGAAAAGCUCCCUGAGAUCCCAAAAAAACCUUGGGAAUGGCUCCAUCCGAAAGAAAUCCCGGGAUGGAGGCCCAGAAUUCCCGGAAUUCCCGAGGUUCUCACUCGGUGCCGACGCCGCGGGAAUUUUUCCGGGCGGUUUUGCCGGCCCAGAAUUCCAGUUUUUCCUUCAGCUCCCGGUUCUGGAAGGAGAAAAUUCCCCCCAAAAAUUCCCGAAAUAUCCCCAAAAAAUUCCCAAAAAUUCCCCAAAAAUUCCCAAAAAAUUCCCAAAAAUUCCCAAAAUAUCCCCAAAAAUUCCAGAAAUAUCACAAAAAGGAGCUGGAAAUUUUGGGGGGAUAUUUUGGGAACUUUUGGGGAAUUUUGGGGGUUUUUUGGGGAUUUUUUGGGGGAUAUUUUGGGAGUUUUUUGGGGAUAUUUUGGGAGUUUUUUGGGAAUUUUUUGGGGUUUUUUGGGAAUUUUUUGGGAUAUUUUGGGGAUUUUUUGGGGAUAUUUUGGGGGAUUUUUUGGGAUAUUUUUGGGGAGUUUUGGGAGUUUUUUGGGAAUUUUUUGGGAGUUUUUGGGGAUUUUUUGGGGAUAUUUUGGGAAUUUUUUGGGAUAUUUUGGGGUUUUUUUGGGAAUUUUUUGGGGAUUUUUUGGGAUAUUUUUGGGGAGUUUGGGGAGUUUUUUGGGAAUUUUUUGGGAGUUUUUUGGGGAUUUUUUGGGAGUUUUUUGGGGAUUUUUUGGGUGUUUUUUGGGGAUAUUUUAGGAAUUUUUGGGGGAUAUUUUGGAAAUUUUUGGGGAGCUUUUUGGGAGUUUUUUGGGAAUUUUUUGUGUUUUUGCGGGAUUUUUGGGGGUUUUUUAGGGGGAAUUUCAGGGCUUUUUGGGACUUAUUCUUGGGAUUUUGGGGGGAUAUUUUGGGAAUUUUUGGGGGAUAUUUUGGGAAUUUUUUGGGGGAUAUUUUGGGAAUUUUUGGGGGAUUUUUUUGGAAUUUUUGGGGGAUUUUUUUGGGUGUUUUUUGGGAAUUUUGGGUGGGUUUUUUGGGGAUAUUUUGGGAGUUUUUUGGGGAUUUUUUGGGUGUUUUUUGGGGAUUUUUUGGGUGUUUUUUGGGGAUAUUUUGGGAUUUUUUGGGGGAUAUUUU